This 518-nucleotide ribosomal RNA is filed under the name uncultured bacterium. Its description in RNAcentral is "bacterial SSU rRNA". It matches the Rfam family "Bacterial small subunit ribosomal RNA", at positions 235 to 770 of the family's 1533-position model. The record is from RNAcentral.
GCACGAUUAGCUAGUUGGCGGGGUAAUGGCCCACCAAGCCGAAGACGGGUAGCAGGUGUGAGAGCACGACCUGCAACAUCGGGACUGAGACACUGCCCGGACUCCUACGGGAGGCUGCAGCGACGAAUCUUCCGCAAUGGGCGCAAGCCUGACGGAGCAAUGCCGCGUGUGGGAUGAAGCACCUCCGGUGUGUAAACCACUGUCAGGGGACGGAACCAAUGAUUGUCCCCAAAGGAAGUGGCGACUAACUCUGUGCCAGCAGUCGCGGUAAUACAGAGGCCACGAGCGUUAGUCGGAAUCACUGGGCUUAAAGGGUGCGUAGGCGGCUCAGCACGUGCUUCGUGAAAGCCCCUGGCUCAACCAGGGAAUUGCGGGGCAUACGGCUGGGCUUGAGGCGUGUAGGGGCUGUCAGAACAGUAGGUGGAGCGGUGAAAUGCGUAGAUAUCUACUGGAAUGCCGAUGGUGAAGACGGGCAGCUGGGCACGACCUGACGCUGAGGCACGAAAGCGUGGGGAGCA